GGAUGCGAUCAUACCAGCACUAAAGCACCGGAUCCCAUCAGAACUCCGCAGUUAAGUCCCAUCAGAACUCCGAAGUUAAGCGUGCUUGGGCGAGAGUAGUACUAGGAUGGGCGAGAGUAGUACUAGGAUGGGUGACCUCCUGGGAAGUCCUCGUGUUGCAUCCC
Molecule: ribosomal RNA, 164 nt
Filed under: Helictochloa bromoides
Lineage: Eukaryota; Viridiplantae; Streptophyta; Magnoliopsida; Poales; Poaceae
Source: RNAcentral